RNAcentral lists this ribosomal RNA (253 nucleotides) under uncultured bacterium. RNAcentral describes it as "partial 16S ribosomal RNA". It matches the Rfam family "Bacterial small subunit ribosomal RNA", at positions 524 to 776 of the family's 1533-position model. The record is from RNAcentral.
GACGAACCGUGCGAACGUUGUUCGGAAUCACUGGGCUUAAAGGGCGCGUAGGCGGGUUUCCAAGUCUGUGGUGAAAUCCUCCAGCUUAACUGGAGAAGUGCCGUGGAUACUGGAGACCUCGAGGAGGGUAGGGGCAUCUGGAACAGCCGGUGGAGCGGUGAAAUGCGUUGAUAUCGGCUGGAACUCCGAUGGCGAAAGCAAGGUGCUGGACCCUAUCUGACGCUGAGGCGCGAAAGCCAGGGGAGCGAACGGG